This 487-nucleotide ribosomal RNA is filed under the name uncultured bacterium. RNAcentral's name for it is "bacterial SSU rRNA". It matches the Rfam family "Bacterial small subunit ribosomal RNA", at positions 8 to 507 of the family's 1533-position model. The record is from RNAcentral.
AGAGUUUGAUCAUGGCUACGAGGACGUAACGCUGGCGGCGUGCUUAACACAUGCAAGUCGAACGUGACCCAGGGCUUGCCCUGGUGAUCAGUGGCGAACGGGUGAGUAACACGUGGGCAACCUGCCCCUGACUUCGGGAUAACUCCUCGAAAGAGGAGCUAAUACCGGAUACGACCACUUCGGACAUCCGAUGGUGGUGGAAAGUUUUUCGGUCAGGGGUGGGCCCGCGGCCUAUCAGCUAGUUGGUGGGGUAAUGGCCUACCAAGGCGACGACGGGUAGCCGGCCUGAGAGGGCGACCGGCCACACUGGGACUGAGACACGGCCCAGACUCCUACGGGAGGCAGCAGUGGGGAAUAUUGCGCAAUGGCGAAAGCCUGACGCAGCGACGCCGCGUGAGGGAUGAAGGCCUUCGGGUUGUAAACCUCUUUCAGCAGGGACGAAGCGAAAGUGACGGUACCUGCAGAAGAAGCACCGGCUAACUACGUG